GUGAAGAGAGCUAGGCAGGUUUAGCUUCAGUUUGUGAUUCUGAAAUUCAUGGGUUCGAAUCCCAUUCUUCGCCC
Molecule: transfer RNA, 74 nt
Filed under: Tayloriella tenebrosa
Lineage: Eukaryota; Rhodophyta; Florideophyceae; Ceramiales; Rhodomelaceae
Description: tRNA-His
Rfam family: tRNA
About the family: Transfer RNA (tRNA) molecules are approximately 80 nucleotides in length.
Source: RNAcentral